GAGACUCUGUGCGCGUGCAUAUCAAUAAGCGGAGGAAAAGAAACUAACAAGGAUUCCCUUAGUAACGGCGAGUGAAGCGGGAAGAGCUCAAAUUUGAAAUCUUCAAGGUUCUACCUUGACGAAUUGUAGUUUAAAGAAGUGUUUUCUGUUAGAUGAGUAGCAAAAGUUCCUUGGAAUGGGACAUCAUAGAGGGUGAGAAUCCCGUAUUUGGUUAUUCAUUCUAGCUUUGUGAUACACUUUCAAAGAGUCGGAUUGUUUGGGAAUGCAGUCCAAAAUGGGUGGUAAAUUUCAUCUAAAGCUAAAUAUUGGCGAGAGACCGAUAGCGAACAAGUACCGUGAGGGAAAGAUGAAAAGAACUUUGAAAAGAGAGUUAAACAGUACGUGAAAUUGUCAAAAGGGAAGCGUUUGACACCAGUGUUGUUUUUCCGAAAAUCAAUUACGAAUGGCUUGAUUUUGUGUUGUAUUGACCUUAUCAGCUUUCUGCACUUUUUUCGAGUCUUUCUUAAUGCACUUUUCGGUUAACAAGUCAACAUCAAUUUCUUUUGUUGUAAAAGAGUAUUCGGAAGGUGGCUUUCUUUUCGGAGAAAGUGUUUAUAGCCCUAUACUUCUACAAUCGGAGAGAUUGAGGUCUGCAGCGUAGAUCCUUCGGGGUUAGAUAUACUUUGUGCUAAGUUGUAGCUUUUCAUAGACAACUUGUUGACUAUGUUUAGUCAUGCGGCUUACUCGCUUAUGCUAUUUUACCUACGCUUAGGAUGUUGACUGAUAUGUAGUCGUA
This 775-nucleotide ribosomal RNA is filed under the name uncultured Neocallimastigales. RNAcentral's name for it is "partial large subunit ribosomal RNA". It matches the Rfam family "Eukaryotic large subunit ribosomal RNA", at positions 23 to 644 of the family's 3401-position model. Lineage: Eukaryota; Fungi; Neocallimastigomycota; Neocallimastigomycetes; Neocallimastigales. The record is from RNAcentral.